This 198-nucleotide ribosomal RNA is filed under the name Triticum aestivum (bread wheat). RNAcentral's name for it is "partial small subunit ribosomal RNA". Lineage: Eukaryota; Viridiplantae; Streptophyta; Magnoliopsida; Poales; Poaceae. The record is from RNAcentral.
AUGAGCCCUGAGUGGGAAGAUAUGUUCCCCUUAGUUAUAGUGCGUAAACUUGUGAGAGAUGUCUCGGAUCACAACCCCUUGUUACUUUCCUCUGAUCCGGCCGAGAAAAAGCCCGUCCAAGGAAGGGAGUUCAGAUUUGAACUGAGCUGGUUAAAAAAUGAGGAGUUUUUUCAAAAAGCCAAAGAGAUCUGGGAGUAA